ACGCUCGACACCUACUGGAGGCAGCAGUGGGGAAUAUUGCACAAUGGGGGAAACCCUGAUGCAGCGACGCCGCGUGGAGGAAGAAGGUCUUCGGAUUGUAAACUCCUGUUGUUGGGGAAAAAGAGGAUGGUACCCAACAAGGAAGUGACGGCUAACUACGUGCCAGCACGCCGGACGGUAAUCUGGAGGCCGGGCUGGACGAAGGC
RNAcentral lists this ribosomal RNA (206 nucleotides) under uncultured bacterium. RNAcentral's name for it is "partial 16S ribosomal RNA". It matches the Rfam family "Bacterial small subunit ribosomal RNA", at positions 328 to 539 of the family's 1533-position model. The record is from RNAcentral.